GUUGUCACAUCAGCUGUACUCUUAAUAGUCCUCAGGCAGAAUCAUUUCUACACGGAAUCCGCAACAUGAAAAGGAUGGAGAGUUGGCUUCACUGUUGGCUGGUCUUGUCUUUGGUGUCUCAAAACGUUACCUGGCAGAAUCCGGGUUGCAAUAAGGGUUCAGGUCAGGGUUUAGAUCAAGAUCAAAUGUAUACACAGGCAAUGGAGGGAGGGUAACCAUUUUUUUUGCAUGAUCCUAAAAACACCACAUGGUGUGUUAAUAACGUGAUGAACAACAGACCCAAAGUCGAACAUAAUCGAAAAGCGAUUAAGAACAUUGCGCAGGUUCUCGAGGACACAGAGGUGACUGGGUCUACAUUCCUGUCUUUCAACAACUCGGUGGCCUUCCUGCACAAACCAAAGGGCCCAUUCAACGGCAUUGAGCUUUAUGCUAGUGAUAAUGAGGUAAAGUCAAGCGUCUGUCAACAAUGGCAAAGUGAGGGUUUGACUGCCGAGAGAGCUCGUUGCUGGAUCAGAAAAAAACAUCGUUUUCCACAUGCUCACCUGGCCUGAAGCAAACUGGGUCAGAGACUUUACUUUUAUGUGUAAUUCUCUAAUAAAAAAUCUGAAUAAAUGAA
Molecule: long non-coding RNA, 616 nt
Organism: Eleginops maclovinus (Patagonian blennie)
Lineage: Eukaryota; Metazoa; Chordata; Actinopteri; Perciformes; Eleginopidae
Exons: 4
Source: RefSeq, a predicted model, not a curated record